RNAcentral lists this ribosomal RNA (141 nucleotides) under uncultured bacterium. RNAcentral describes it as "partial 16S ribosomal RNA". It matches the Rfam family "Bacterial small subunit ribosomal RNA", at positions 349 to 507 of the family's 1533-position model. The record is from RNAcentral.
CAGCAGUAGGGAAUCUUGCGCAAUGGGCGAAAGCCUGACGCAGCAACGCCGCGUGAGGGACGAAGGCUUUUGAGUUGUAAACCUCUUUCGGCAGGAACGAUUGUGACGGUACCUGCAGAAGAAGCACCGGCCAACUAUGUG